This is an unclassified non-coding RNA of Stylophora pistillata, 1349 nucleotides long. The record is from RefSeq and is a predicted model, not a curated record. NCBI's taxonomy places the organism in Eukaryota, Metazoa, Cnidaria, Anthozoa, Scleractinia, Pocilloporidae.
UGCUCAAAUGAUGCUUAAGGGCCACACCUAUAGGUCGUUCAAGUUUACACCAGGUACAUUGGAAUGCAGAGAGGCUUGUCUCGCUGAUGACAGAUGUCAAAGCUAUAAUGUCGUCAUGUUCAUUGCAAUAUGUGAGUUAAACAACCGAACUAAAGAGGUCAGACCAGAGGACUUUGUUAAGGACGAGGACAGAUAUUACAUGGCGAAAGGUCCAAAACGAGUUCCCCUUGGAUCAACCCGUGAGCUCCCUGCCAGAUCGUGUCAGGAAAUCAAGGCAAGUGAAGGAGGACAGGCAGUCAGCGGUAAUUAUUGGCUGGACUCUACCAGAUCUGGGAACUCUAUUUUAGCUCGCUGUGACAUGAGGACAGAAGUUGCAGACUACUGUGUCAAGCAUAGAUGCCAAAACGAUGCAAAAUGUGUGAACCAGGAAACGAACUACUCGUGUACGUGUAACUCAUCUGGUUGGACAGGAACAUUUUGUGAAAAAGAUGUCAACGAAUGCAAGGAAGGUCUGAAUAGAUGUCAUGCUAACGCCACUUGUUACAACACUGAGGGAUCCUACAAUUGUUCAUGUAAAACAGAAUUUCUUGGAGACGGAAGAAAUUACUGCAAAGCUAUGACUCACGAUUAUGACUGCUGGCGCAGCCAAUCCAAAAGUCCAAGUCGGAACUGGGGCUACUAUUCUAAAAUCGACGCAAUCGAUUUACAAACAAGAGUAGCGUCACCCUGCUGGGAUACCGUCUGUGGGGAGUCAAUAGCGGUUCAACCACUUUCCAGGUCACCAUCCGAUUGUAUCGUGGAAGUUCCUUGAUCGCAGACUAACAACUGGAUCCUACUACACCACAUCCUCAGUUAAGGCGUUUGAAGUUCGUUUUUAUUCCGGGAUUUCUCUUCGUGCAGGUGUAGUAUACACAGCAACAUCUAAACUAACCACCAGCGGUCGUCACACUCAUGCUCACAAGGAUAGAAUGUCAAGUGCUUCAUGUUCUGGUAUCACCGUUACGCUUAUGCAUUCUUCCAAAGAUAAUAACGGAUCAGGUGUAUCCGGUGUCCAAAUACCAGUGCUGAUCCUCCGUUCCAGUCACUGCUAAAAGAAAAUUCAGUUUGCGACUCAUGCCCAGCCAAGUGGACUGAACAUUAGACAAAACCUUUGAAAGGUCAUUCGCAAACAACGUCAAAGAGGAGGAAGGUUAAGAGCAAUGACUGUAAUAAAAAGCCAAGGAAGUGAAACGUUUGUAACAGGAGGCAGAAAACUGUAAUAAACAACUACUCAAUACAGGAGUCAAACGCCGGAAGAAAGAGAGACUGUUUAUAAUCAAAGAUGUCACGCUACUUCGUUACUGUUUUGA